Molecule: ribosomal RNA, 439 nt
Filed under: uncultured bacterium
Lineage: Bacteria
Description: partial 16S ribosomal RNA
Rfam family: Bacterial small subunit ribosomal RNA
Source: RNAcentral
CUACGGGGUGCAGCAGUGGGGAAUAUUGCACAAUGGGGGGAACCCUGAUGCAGCAACGCCGCGUGGAGGAUGACGCAUUUCGGUGUGUAAACUCCUUUUAUAUGUCAAGAAAAUGACGGUAGCAUAUGAAUAAGCACCGGCUAACUCCGUGCCAGCAGCCGCGGUAAUACGGAGGGUGCAAGCGUUACUCGGAAUCACUGGGCGUAAAGGACGCGUAGGCGGGUUGGAAAGUCAGGUGUGAAAUCCUACAGAUUAACUGUAGAACUGCACUUGAAACUUCUAAUCUAGAGUAUGGGAGGGGGAGAUGGAAUUAGUGGUGUAGGGGUAAAAUCCGUAGAUAUCACUAGGAAUACCUAAAGCGAAGGCGAUCUCCUGGAACAUUACUGACGCUAAGGCGUGAAAGCGUGGGGAGCAAACAGGAUUAGAUACCCGAGUAGUC